This 468-nucleotide ribosomal RNA is filed under the name uncultured bacterium. RNAcentral describes it as "partial 16S ribosomal RNA". It matches the Rfam family "Bacterial small subunit ribosomal RNA", at positions 28 to 507 of the family's 1533-position model. The record is from RNAcentral.
GACGAACGCUGGCGGCGUGCUUAAUACAUGCAAGUCGAACGGAAAGGCCCUGCUUUUGUGGGUUGCUCGAGUGGCGAACGGGUGAGUAACACGUGAGUAACCUGCCCUUGUCUUUGGGAUAACUUCAGGAAACUGGGGCUAAUACCGGAUAGGAGCUCCUGCUGCAUGGUGGGGGUUGGAAAGUUUCGGCGGUUGUGGAUGGACUCGCGGCUUAUCAGCUUGAUGGUGGGGUAGUGGCUUACCAGGGCUUUGACGGGUAGCCGGCAUGAGAGGGUGACCGGCCACAUUGGGACUACGAUACGGCCCAGACUGCUACGGGAGGCAGCAGUCGGGAAUAUUGCACAGUGGGCGGAAGCCUGAUGCAGCAACGCCGCGUGCGGGAUGACGGCCUUCGGGUUGUAAACCGCUUUCGCCUGUGACGAAGCGUGAGUGACGGUAAUGGGUAAAGAAGCACCGGCUAACUACGUG